UUAAGUUCAGCGGGUAUUCCUACCUGAUCCGAGGUCAACCUUGAUAAAAGGGGGGUGUUUUACGGCAAGAACCCGCCGCACGACCAAAGCGAGAUGUGCUACUGCGCUCGGUGUGACUAGCGAGCCCGCCACUGGUUUCAGGGCCUGCGGGCAGCCGCAGGACCCCAACACAAGCAGGGCUUGAUGGUUGAAAUGACGCU
This 200-nucleotide unclassified non-coding RNA is filed under the name uncultured Lasiosphaeriaceae. RNAcentral's name for it is "sequence contains ITS2". The record is from RNAcentral. Lineage: Eukaryota; Fungi; Ascomycota; Sordariomycetes; Sordariales; Lasiosphaeriaceae.